Molecule: ribosomal RNA, 92 nt
Filed under: Hypoxylon calileguense
Lineage: Eukaryota; Fungi; Ascomycota; Sordariomycetes; Xylariales; Hypoxylaceae
Description: partial 28S ribosomal RNA
Source: RNAcentral
GGCGGUGUCAGGGCACACUCGUAGCGUAGUAAUUUUCUUCUCGCUUCUGUAGUGGUUCUGGCAACCUGCCGUAAAACCCCCCUAUUUUCUAG